GCCUUGCUAGCUUUGUUGGUAGAACAUGAGCCUCUUAAUCUUAGGGGUGUGGGUUCCAGCCCCAUACAGUGGUA
This is a non-coding RNA of Podarcis lilfordi (Lilford's wall lizard), 74 nucleotides long. The record is from the annotation of a GenBank genome assembly. Lineage: Eukaryota; Metazoa; Chordata; Lepidosauria; Squamata; Lacertidae.